Molecule: ribosomal RNA, 406 nt
Filed under: uncultured bacterium
Lineage: Bacteria
Description: partial 16S ribosomal RNA
Rfam family: Bacterial small subunit ribosomal RNA
Source: RNAcentral
AUUGAACGCUGGCGGCAGGCUUAACACAUGCAAGUCGAGCGAGCGGCGGACGGGUGAGUAAUGUCUGGGAAACUGCCUGAUGGAGGGGGAUAACUACUGGAAACGGUAGCUAAUACCGCAUACCAUCAGAUGUGCCCAAAUGGGAUUAGCUAGUAGGUGGGGUAAUGGCUCACCUAGGCGACGAUCCCUAGCUGGUCUGAGAGGGUGACAAGCCAAAAUGGAACUGGAGCACGGUCCAGAAUCCUACGGGAGGCAGCAGUGGGGAAUGUUGCACAAUGGGCGGAAGCCUGAUGCAGACAUGCCGCGUGUGUGAAGAAGGCCUUCGGGUUGGAAAGCACUUUCAGCGAGGAGGCGUUACUCGCAGAAGAAGCAACGGCUAACUCCGUGCCAGCAGCCGCGGUAAUAC